This 215-nucleotide long non-coding RNA is filed under the name Elaeis guineensis (African oil palm). Its description in RNAcentral is "long non-coding RNA (EGUI_LNC076617)". The record is from RNAcentral. Lineage: Eukaryota; Viridiplantae; Streptophyta; Magnoliopsida; Arecales; Arecaceae.
UUUGCUAUGGUUUCGUACGUGUAGUUUAAAAUUUUUUUAAACAUCUAAGCAGUGGAAGUAGAUCAAUUAAAAUAUUUUUAAUUAGAUCAUGUAUCAGAUCUAAUCUAAAAAUUAUAGUUAGAAUUUUGAUAUGAACAUUCAACCAUGAUCUAAAAUUUAAAAAAGAAAACAAACGGUUAGAAAGAAACAAAUUGGAGAUCAGACCUCCAUACCUC